CCGGUCCAUGUAGGAGGGCGGGGCAACAGACAGACCUGCCCCGGGAGCAACAGAUCUUCCUACCCCCGAAGCCCCACUAGGUAGCAGAGCUGGAAACCCCCACGCUCUAUGGGUUGGAAGCUGAUUGUAUGGAAGACUCUGUCUGGUCACAAAGGAGGUGAGGGAUAGAACUGAUCAAACACGCUCUUCCUCUUCUGUGGGUUCAGAGGGACAGGAAAGAGGUUGUGUUUCUGUGCAGCGGGUGGAGGCUCUGAUGGGCACGUAGCCGGCCCGAAGGGGCCAGAGGGUCAGAGCUAGUGAUGCGGUGGGGCGUGGGCUGGGCUCCCCGGGUGACAGAGGAGCCGAGCCCGAGGGAGGGGUGAGGUCCAGGGGUGGCUGGAGGAGGAACAACCAGGCGGAGUCACUGGUGGGAAAGGGCUCCCGCUCCCAGGAGAGACACUCACUUUCUCUGGAAUCACCUGGGUGACUCAUGUCACAAGAAGUGAAGAGCAAGAUGAGCCAGGGCCCGCUGUCCAGGAUGGGGCCCGCCACCGGGCAGCGUCACGGAAGGGAGCUGGGUGAAUCUUCGUGAGGAGCUCCAAGAACUGCCUCCUCAAAUGCCAAGAGAGACCUAGUGGUUUGAUCAGAGCAGCCCUCACCGGGCCCUGCGGCAACGAAUCUGCCAAAACUAAACAAACAAAAGCUGUGGCAAGCAGGGCUCAGCUGUUACGAGGCCAAUUUCCGCCAAGACCGCCCAGAUGCUGCCACCCCAGCAGGUGGUGCCCUGGGGGACGGGGCCUGAAAUGGGACCUGCUCUGUAGGGCGUGGGCUUGGAGGUUCAGGGGGGUGCCUUCUUGGCCAGGCCUAGUGCUCCGGGAGCGGGAUGGCCUUGAAGACUUGCUGGGUUUCCCACAAAGGGCAGGAGGUUACAUUCCAAAAUGCAAGCUUGCGUCUGUUGACCUGAAGCAAACAGACCGCAGGUGUUUCUGCAGCAAAGUUGGGUUUAUUCAAUUCGGGAUCAGCAGGGAAUUGCACUUAAGGCUCUCUGCCGUGGCGGCCACAUGCAAGACCGCACCCGGCAAGGGAAGGAGCAGCUUUCAUAGAGGGGACACGGGCCGGGCCGGCUGGGUAAACAGAGCCUGGGCUUCUCACGGCGGAGUCCUGGCGGGGAGGAAGGGGACUCUCCCUUCCACGGUGGGGCUCCGCUGUGGCUGCAGGGCGAGAGCGCCCCCUGCUGGACCCCUGUCUGUCUACCCAGGGUUUCCAUUCAUUAAAGUUUCACCGGCGUCCGGACGGAAGCCAAAAGGGACAUGAGAUACGCAUUUUUCCUUAUUCCUGCUUGGGGAGGGUGCUCAGAACGUUUUCCUUCUUUCUAAAGAAAGCAAGCGCUUUCAGCACAUUCUAGGUGCCCAUGCGCCCGUAGGUCGCCCACCAGCCCCUCGUCAGGAGGGGACAGAGCGCAACGCGGGCGGGAAGUGCUCUGCCUUCGCCUCGGGGCCGCCCUCCCCUCCCCGCCAAGUCGCAGCAGCGCUCACACUGCCCCCGCUUCCGGGGCUGCCCGACUCCAAAGGCAGCGCGGACCUGCGCGAGGACCUGGGGCCGCUCCUCCGGUGAGCCGUCUGGGCCGCGGCCAGCCCUGGGCUCGUCUACAGAGUAUUCUCAGAUGACGUGUGACUGCGUCGCCCUCAAUGACUUUUUACCUGAACACCCAGAAUUCAUGAAAUGCCCACGGUGACAACACCAGCCGGUGCGACAACUAAUUAUUUCAUUCAUCCCACAAACUUUUUGUUUUUAAUGUGUAACUUACAGAACUUUUUAUUCUUUUUCAUCUUAUUUAUUUAUUUAUUCUGCCACAUGGAGUCUUAGUUGCUGUGUGCAGAGUUGCCCCCGAGGUGGGUGGGAUCUUAGUUCCCCAACCAGGGAUUGAACCCGAGUUCUCUGCAUUGAAAGGCAGAUUCUUCACCACUGGACCCCCAGGGAAGGCCCC
Bos taurus (domestic cattle) is the source of this 1966-nucleotide long non-coding RNA. NCBI's taxonomy places the organism in Eukaryota, Metazoa, Chordata, Mammalia, Artiodactyla, Bovidae. The record is from Ensembl.